Transfer RNA from Camelus ferus (Wild Bactrian camel), 72 nucleotides. It matches the Rfam family "tRNA". Rfam says of the family: Transfer RNA (tRNA) molecules are approximately 80 nucleotides in length. NCBI's taxonomy places the organism in Eukaryota, Metazoa, Chordata, Mammalia, Artiodactyla, Camelidae. The record is from Rfam.
GGGAGUAUAGCUCAGUGGUAGAGCACGUCCUCAGCAUGCAUGAGGUCCUGGGUUCAAUCCCCAGUAAUUCCA